GCCACAGCCAUAUCACCCUACAGCGCAAGACCGAUUACUCACCGAAGCUAAGCAGGGCUGAGCCAAGUCAGUACCUGGAUGGGAGACCACAUGGGAAAACUAGGUUGCUGUUGGCA
Ribosomal RNA from Danio rerio (zebrafish), 116 nucleotides. The record is from Ensembl. Lineage: Eukaryota; Metazoa; Chordata; Actinopteri; Cypriniformes; Danionidae.